RNAcentral lists this ribosomal RNA (480 nucleotides) under uncultured bacterium. RNAcentral describes it as "partial 16S ribosomal RNA". It matches the Rfam family "Bacterial small subunit ribosomal RNA", at positions 28 to 523 of the family's 1533-position model. The record is from RNAcentral.
AAUGAACGUUGGCGGCGUGGAUUAGGCAUGCAAGUCGAGCGAGAACCCCGCAAGGGGGGACAGCGGCAAACGGCGUAGUAAGGCGUAGGUACGUGCCCCCGGGUCUGGGAUAGCCAAGGGAAACUUUGGGUAAUACCGGAUACUCUCGCGAGAGCAAGGGUGUGACGCCGCCUGGGGAGUGGCUUACGUGGUAUUAGCUUGUUGGUGAGGUAACGGCUCACCAAGGCAACGAUGCCUAGGGGGUGUGAGAGCACGACCCCCACGACUGGGACUGAGAUACUGCCCAGACACCUACGGGUGGCUGCAGUCGAGAAUCUUCGGCAAUGGGCGCAAGCCUGACCGAGCGACGCCGCGUGUGGGAUGAAGGCCCUUGGGUUGUAAACCACUGUCAGAGGGGAUGAAGUGCACGGGGGUACUCCCUCGUGUUUGACAUAGCCUCAGAGGAAGCACGGGCUAAGUUCGUGCCAGCAGCCGCGGUAA